RNAcentral lists this ribosomal RNA (497 nucleotides) under uncultured bacterium. RNAcentral's name for it is "partial 16S ribosomal RNA". It matches the Rfam family "Bacterial small subunit ribosomal RNA", at positions 28 to 507 of the family's 1533-position model. The record is from RNAcentral.
GAUGAACGCUGGCGGCGUGCCUAAUACAUGCAAGUCGAGCGAACAGACGAGGAGCUUGCUCCUCUGACGUUAGCGGCGGACGGGUGAGUAACACGUGGAUAACCUACCUAUAAGACUGGGAUAACUUCGGGAAACCGGAGCUAAUACCGGAUAAUAUAUUGAACCGCAUGGUUCAAUAGUGAAAGACGGUUUUGCUGUCACUUAUAGAUGGAUCCGCGCCGCAUUAGCUAGUUGGUAAGGUAACGGCUUACCAAGGCAACGAUGCGUAGCCGACCUGAGAGGGUGACCGGCCACACUGGAACUGAGACACGGUCCAGACUCCUACGGGAGGCAGCAGUAGGGAAUCUUCCGCAAUGGGCGAAAGCUUGACGGAGCAACGCCGCGUGAGUGAUGAAGGUCUUCGGAUCGUAAAACUCUGUUAUUAGGGAAGAAAAAAUGUGUAAGUAACUAUGCACGUCUUGACGGUACCUAAUCAGAAAGCCACGGCUAACUACGUG